AACUAAGAGAAACACAUAAAAAAAAAGUGUUGGCAAGGGGAGAGAAGACUUAACUCCAACUUAAAGAUCAAGAGAUCAUCUUAUGGAGAGAAGAUCUAACUCCAACUUAAAGAUCAAGCAAUCAUAUUCCAUGAUCAAAACUGUUCAAGAAGAUUUCCGCAACAAUGAAUGGAGAAGAUAGUUAAAGCAUGCAAAACGCUGAGUUGAUGACGUUAAUGAUUCUCUACGUUUAGAACAGUGAGCUGUCAAUCUUCUUCUUUCUUAACUCCAACCUUUUUCAAAUAUAUACUACAAAAAAAGAUCUACUAAGCAAUGCAACGUGUACUUUUUAUUUUACGAUUAAGCAUGAUGAUAUAUGCUCAUCACCUUUUUGGAUGUUGAACUAAACUCCCUCUCUCGGCAUAUGGAAACGUUCAUGAUUCUACGUUUUGUAAAUAUCUUGUGUUAUGGCCUAUGGGAUCAAGAUAAGCUGUGUUGCUGCACAUCCGAACUUCUUUGUGUUCUACUUCACUUUGGAUCAAAUCACGUUUUGCCAAGGAAAACUGAGAGGCUAAUUUUAUCAAAAAUUGUUCAAGUUGAAACAUUUUCUAAUUGUGCCUUAUGGACUUGAUCUGCCUUUAGGGAGUAAUGAUGUUCUGCUACUGGAGAUUAACAUUGAGCAUAUGACUCUGUCAAGUUAGACGUGAUGUGACUAUGUGAGGAAUAUAGUGGUAUGAGUUUUCAUAAAUUGGACUGGACAAGACUAUUUGAGCCUGAGAACAUGUUCUCAUGAGGUUACUAGAGCUUUUCCUUAUCGGUUGUUAUUAUAUAUUUUGCAUCUUCUUGUUUUGAACUCAAUCUUUCUAUCUUCACAGAUCACUCCUGUCAUAUUUUGCUUCUAACUGGAACUUCUCUUCAUUAUAUGUU
Brassica napus (rape) is the source of this 906-nucleotide long non-coding RNA. RefSeq lists it as uncharacterized. The transcript has 2 exons. NCBI's taxonomy places the organism in Eukaryota, Viridiplantae, Streptophyta, Magnoliopsida, Brassicales, Brassicaceae. The record is from RefSeq and is a predicted model, not a curated record.